AGUGAACGCUGGCGGUAGGCCUAACACAUGCAAGUCGAACGGCAGCACAGUAAGAGCUUGCUCUUACGGGUGGCGAGUGGCGGACGGGUGAGGAAUACAUCGGAAUCUACUUUUUCGUGGGGGAUCACGUAGGGAAACUUACGCUAAUACAGCAUACGACCUACGGGUGAAAGCAGGGGAUCUUCGGACCUUGCGCGAUUGAAUGAGCCGAUGUCGGAUUAGCUAGUUGGCGGGGUAAAGGCCCACCAAGGCGACGAUCCGUAGCUGGUCUGAGAGGAUGAUCAGCCACACUGGAACGGAGACACGGUCCAGACUCCUACGGGAGGCAGCAGUGGGGAAUAUUGGACAAUGGGCGCAAGCCUGAUCCAGCCAUACCGCGUGGGUGAAGAAGGCCUUCGGGUUGUAAAGCCCUUUUGUUGGGAAAGAAAAGCAGCAGGUUAAUACCCCGCUGUUCUGACGGUACCCAAAGAAUAAGCACCGGCUAACUUCGUG
RNAcentral lists this ribosomal RNA (492 nucleotides) under uncultured bacterium. RNAcentral's name for it is "partial 16S ribosomal RNA". It matches the Rfam family "Bacterial small subunit ribosomal RNA", at positions 29 to 507 of the family's 1533-position model. The record is from RNAcentral.